GGGGGCGGGGAGGGGGGCAGCAGAGGCUCCCCUUUCAUCUGGGCUUGGUUCCGGAGAAGGCCAAAAGAGGAAUUUACCCAGGAAGCAAUCUGAAGGCAAAAGUCCCAUCUAAAGUGAAGGACUUUCUCCCCUACUGUGUUGACAUUGCCUUCACUGCCACCAGUGUUGAUCAAAGGCCAGAUCUCCUGUCAAGAGACAUCGGACUGAGUGGAAGAUCUCCUUGAUACCCUUCUAAUAAAGGGUACAAAUUCUUCCCAGAGAUCCUGGACAGCAAAAACUGUUCCUUUAUGGAAUGUCACCACCUGGCACAGCCAUCUCUCACUUAAGCCAAAGAAAAUUCAAACACACCCCAAAACAGCUAGUACACUGUGGAAAGGGAAACUCUAAUGGCUUCCUGUUGUAGUUUAAAUGUAAAAUGUUCCCCCACAGCCUCAUGUAUUUAAAUUGGUGAUGCCAUUUGGGAAAGCACUGUGAUCUUUAGGGUUUGCACCUUGAUGGAAGAAGUGCGUCACUGGGGGCGGGCCUUGAGAAGCCCAGCCCGACUUCCUGUUUACUCUACAUGAUUUGUGACUAUGAAUGUAAUGUGCCAGCUGUCCUCUGGCUCCAGCUGCCACAUCCCCUCUGCUGUGAUGGAGCAUAGGCCCUUGAACUGAAUAAACAACCAAGUCCCAACUCACCAAAAUCCCUAAGCAGUAAGGACUCGCCCUAUAAUAAUUUCACUAAUAAAUGUCCAUGAAAAAUGGUUAAAACCUUCGGGGAUAUCCAAUCUUUUGACAUCAUGAAAUGGUAAUGUCAUCUACAAAUGGUCUGGGUAGGAUCUGAAGCUACAGGAGAGCAGAAGAUACCUGAGAUUCACAAUUGCAUGUUGGUACAAACCUGCCAAAUGACAGGUCUCCAACUUGAGAUGGUUUGGCUUACAUUUUUCAAUUUUAUUGUGGUACAAGAUUGAUGAGCAUCCUGUAAGAACUAUUCUUCAAAUCUUUCAUCUGGAUCCUUUCUGAGACUAGUCUUUUUAUACAGCGAGCCACAUUCUACCGUGGACUACUUGUAAGUUGUGAUGCUCUGUCAAUCAUAUUGUUACAUGCUUUUUGACACAAUGGCAGUUUUAAUUUAUGGAUGUUCAUGAGGAUGUAAUUCAGUUCUAAGUCAAAAAGCAGUUUACUUCUUUGACAAUAUUGUUAAUUAAACAGGGAAUAUGCACUGCAGCUGCCUGCUUUCCUUCCUUUUUCCCCCUCUCCUUCCUUCCUUUUCCUCCUUUUAUCUUAAAUAUCUCCUAUAUCUUGAAGAGAAAAACAUACUCUCAAUAAAAAACUACCAUCUCCCAUA
Molecule: long non-coding RNA, 1326 nt
Organism: Rattus norvegicus (Norway rat)
Lineage: Eukaryota; Metazoa; Chordata; Mammalia; Rodentia; Muridae
Source: RefSeq, a predicted model, not a curated record